Molecule: long non-coding RNA, 3401 nt
Filed under: Mus musculus (house mouse)
Lineage: Eukaryota; Metazoa; Chordata; Mammalia; Rodentia; Muridae
Description: long non-coding RNA chr6:12041517-12044918
Source: RNAcentral
AGCUGCAUGCAGACCAACACACACACUCACAAGCACAUGCGCGCAUGCACACACACACGCACACACACACACACACACACACACACACACACACAAAAUUACCCCCGCUAACACAUAGUUACCUCCCCUGACACAUAAUAUUGGGAAAUAAAUGAAAUGCCUCUGAAAUACCAAAUGGCUGGAAUGGUAGUAAUAUAUCAGAGUCACAGGGAGAAUUUUGAGACUCAGUUGACUACCAUCUUCUCCUUAUCCUCCAGCUCCACCAAUUGUUCUCUCCAUCACUUUCUGGAGUCUAGGUCUGUGAUGAAACUCAAAGAUUUGAGUUCGUAGCAGGUUUCAAGUAAUGUUGAUUGAGCUGGUCAAGGACAUUACUUUGAAAAAAAUUCAUACACGGUUACUUGUUUAAAAUAAUCAUUAGCUUAUUCAGUGUGGACUAAUAAUGCGUGUGGGUUUAAUGCCUUUAAGGGGCUCUUCCAUUCCUCAAAAGAUUUGUUUUUAGACAAAGGUUUGUAGAAAAGUAGUAUCUUCUGAAACACAAAGUACAACUUCCUUAAUUACAAAAUGUCAGUUAAGGAUUUAUUUCACUAAUAGAGCAACACUGCUUGCCCAAAGUGUCUUAAUCCUUCCACUUAGAACAGUUUUGUAUGAGAUGAAAACAAUAUUUAGCCUUAGUGUGUAUUGAGUUUAAGUUUAGAUAUUUAUGCAUCAGUUAUGUAUCACUACAUCUUGUGUUUCUUGAAUGUGUAUCUGAAACCAUAUGUGGCAUAAAAUUAGUUUUCUGACAAAUAACGUUCACAUUUGUUAACUUACUUACUUUCCUGUUUAUGCAACAGUGAACUACUUUUUAAACACUCAGAUUUUCAAACUUUAAACACACACACAUACACACACCCCCAUAAGUAUGUUUUACUUGACUCACAAUAUGGAAAUAUUUCACCAAGAUCUGUUUAAAAAUUCAGAAGAAUUCUGCAACAGAUUACAAUUUUAACAUUUUCUGAAACAUUUUCGGUUUUCUGAAAUUAUUUUUAACUAUUCAAACUUGUUGAAGAGAGUUCCUCAAGACACAUAAAGACAUAUCAAGACAUGAAAACAGAGUUUAUCUGUCUUUGUAAAUUUAGAUAUUUGUAAGGAAUGCGAACAAAGACGGGAUUUACAAGUGGAUCUUCUUAGAAAGAAAAAUGUAGACUUCUUUACUGUAGUGAUCACCUCAAGGUGCUCUGUAAGCCUGUCAGUAAGAUUGACUGCUCUUCAGGUACUUAGGAUGUAAUGAAAUUGAAUGUUCAUGCUGAGCUUGGUAAAUAAAAUGAGAUUGACCUCCUAGCCAUUAUCUCCUUUAUCUGAUUUACAUUGUAAAAUCAGGAUCUACACUAUUGAUUGGAGUAUAAUUAGUUAAUUAUGAACAGGAAAAUGCAAAGUUAGGUGGAGCUUGAACACAGCAGGUUGUAGUGCUAAAAUCUUUCCCAGGGCAUGAGCAGAGGGAGAUCAGUUUAUUAGAGAACAAAGCAGACGAGUUUCAGGCACGGAAAUGUCUAAUCCAUUUCUCAUGCUGGGAAGAGAUACUUGACCUUACUGUGUAUUGUCAUGAACUGCCUUGUUUCAUGUUCCGGGUUUCCUUGUUUUUAUUUUGUUUUGUUUUCUUAUUUCACUUUUAAAGUUGCAAGCUGGCUGUUGGCAGAUAUAAAUAAUGAAUUGAUUCCACAUUUUACGUGGGAUUGGAUUUGGCUUUUCCCAAAUAGUGAUAUUUAGUUAUCAAUAUCCAUUUGUAAUGAGGAAUUUUAGACUAUCCUACCACCCACUCAUUUCACUGUUUCCUGUGAGAGAAAUCCCCAGUAGCAUUCACAAGAUAGGUUCAUCAUUUUUAUGAUGUUUGUGAAAUAAGACUUAGAACAAGUUUUGAAUUAACAUGUAUAGAAAACAUUCGUGUAGGUGGUGGCUUGCACUAAAAUUAUUACCUGCUACAAGGAUUAAGAUAGUUUACUUAUAGAUAUUAUACCAUUGAUAGAAUGUAGGGUUUUGUGACAGCUCAUAUUAUUUAAAAAAUUUUAAUGGGCCUCAGUAUAUAUUUAUUCUACAUAUUAAGACAUUUAAUUGAAAUGAUUGAUCAGUGUUCACUGCAGUAACUUAUCACAGUUAGUUGCUGAAAUUGUAUUUGAAUUGCUAGUAAGGUUUUAUUUAAGCAGUGUUAAUAGUCAAGACUAAUUGAAGGGAAAGCCAGAAGAGCCAGCAGUCGGUUCUCCAGAUGCUCAUGUUUCUAGGUGAGAAGCGCAGUGUUCUGUAGUUCCAGAGACAGUUUCCUUAUUCAUCAUUGUAUAGGGAAUACUGCCUGUUGUGCUUCAUUACGGUAACAGAAUAUCUACAGUACAUCCCUUUUAAAGUCUCGCCCCAGAGGCUGCUUCUUUCCAAAGGCCAGUUUGCUUAGGAGGUACCUGCACUUAAUAAACCAGUGUUUUGGGGUUUGUUUGUUUGUUUGUUUGUUUGUUUUAAGGAAUGACUUAGUAUAUGCCAGAAAUAAACUUAUUAUUAUUUGAAACUAAGAAAGCUAAAUAAACCCUUUAGAGCAAUGGUUCUCAACGUUCUUAAUGCUGUAAAAACUCUCUUAUACAUUUCUUUUCAUUGUGGUAAGCACCAACCAUAAAAUUAUUUGUCACUUUCAUAACUAAUUUUUCUAGGGUUAUGAAUUGUAAUGUGAAUAUCUGUGAAUAUCUGUGUUUUCUGAUGGUCAUAGGCAAGUCCUGUGGGGGGGGGGGGGGGCUGUAGGGGUCGCGACCCACAGGUUGAGAACCACUGUUCUAGCACCUUGACUACUUUGUGUAGGCAUAAGAGAAAAUUUUAAGUUAGAUAUGUUUGCUUAUUUCCACAUUGUCAGUAGUCACUCGACACUGAGUUUAAUGCUUGUUAUGUGGAUCAUAGCACACAGGAAGAUCAAUCAUUUUCUCUUCUUCUCUAGGGUGCUGUACUUAAUCAUAACGCUAAGUAAGUAUUUUAAUAAAAAUCGAGCUGUGCUUAUUUAGUCUCUACAUCUUCCUGAAUCAACGUAGAGUGCUCCUCUGUCCUUUGUAUUUGUAUCAAUAUUAAUGUAGUAUGUAGGAAGUUGAACUUGAUAGGUACUUGGUUGGUCAGACUUUGUUCACAUUAAAAAUUGGCUUUGUUUGAUCUCACUAUACUACAAAUUUUAGAAUUCUCUGUAGUCUAAUGUGCACAAUAUUUAUUAAAUAUUUUAAAUAUACUUCUUCAGUCAUCAAGUUUAGUUUUUAUUUAUAGACAUGUUCUUCAUAUGCUAAAUUUAUAUUUUCUUCAUGGUUAAGGUAUUGCCUUUUUACUAUGAUGUGCUAUUGGUAUAAUAAUGUUUUUCUUACAUCAACAUUUGUUUCGUUUAAUAAAGUGUUGUGUUAAUAUCACAG